This 275-nucleotide ribosomal RNA is filed under the name uncultured soil bacterium. Its description in RNAcentral is "partial 16S ribosomal RNA". It matches the Rfam family "Bacterial small subunit ribosomal RNA", at positions 26 to 285 of the family's 1533-position model. The record is from RNAcentral.
AGAAUCAACGCUGGCGGCGUGCCUCAGACAUGCAAGUCGAACGCGAAAGUUUCCUUCGGGGAGCGAGUAGAGUGGCGCACGGGUGAGUAACACGUAGGUAAUCUACCCUUGGAUGGGGAAUAACAACCGGAAACGGUUGCUAAUACCGCAUGAUGCAGCGGCACCUAAUGGUGACAGUUGUUAAAGCGGGGGAUCGAAAGACCUCGCGUCUGAAGGGAGCCUGCGGCGGAUUAGCUAGUUGGUAGGGUAACGGCCUACCAAGGCAACGAUCCGUA